Molecule: ribosomal RNA, 334 nt
Filed under: uncultured eukaryote
Lineage: Eukaryota
Description: partial 18S ribosomal RNA
Rfam family: Eukaryotic small subunit ribosomal RNA
Source: RNAcentral
CCCUUAGAUGUCCGGGGCUGCACGCGCGCUACACUGACUGGCUCAGCGUGUGCCUACCCUACGCCGGCAGGCGCGGGUAACCCGUUGAACCCCAUUCGUGAUGGGGAUCGGGGAUUGCAAUUAUUCCCCAUGAACGAGGAAUUCCCAGUAAGUGCGGGUCAUAAGCUUGCGUUGAUUAAGUCCCUGCCCUUUGUACACACCGCCCGUCGCUACUACCGAUUGGAUGGUUUAGUGAGGCCCUCGGAUCGGCCCCGCCGGGGUCGGCCCACGGCCCUGGCGGAGCGCUGAGAAGACGGUCGAACUUGACGAUCUAGAGGAAGUAAAAGUCGUAACA